GAUGAACGCUGGCGGCGUGCUUAACACAUGCAAGUCGAACGAUGAAGCCCAGCUUGCUGGGUGGAUUAGUGGCGAACGGGUGAGUAACACGUGAGUAACCUGCCCUUAACUCUGGGAUAAGCCUGGGAAACUGGGUCUAAUACCGGAUAGGAGCGUCCACCGCAUGGUGGGUGUUGGAAAGAUUUAUCGGUUUUGGAUGGACUCGCGGCCUAUCAGCUUGUUGGUGAGGUAAUGGCUCACCAAGGCGACGACGGGUAGCCGGCCUGAGAGGGUGACCGGCCACACUGGGACUGAGACACGGCCCAGACUCCUACGGGAGGCAGCAGUGGGGAAUAUUGCACAAUGGGCGAAAGCCUGAUGCAGCGACGCCGCGUGAGGGAUGACGGCCUUCGGGUUGUAAACCUCUUUCGGUAGGGAAGAAGCGAAAGUGACGGUACCUGCAGAAGAAGCACCGGCUAACUACGUG
RNAcentral lists this ribosomal RNA (466 nucleotides) under uncultured bacterium. RNAcentral describes it as "partial 16S ribosomal RNA". It matches the Rfam family "Bacterial small subunit ribosomal RNA", at positions 28 to 507 of the family's 1533-position model. The record is from RNAcentral.